RNAcentral lists this ribosomal RNA (253 nucleotides) under uncultured bacterium. Its description in RNAcentral is "partial 16S ribosomal RNA". It matches the Rfam family "Bacterial small subunit ribosomal RNA", at positions 524 to 776 of the family's 1533-position model. The record is from RNAcentral.
UACGUAGGGUGCAAGCGUUAAUCGGAAUUACUGGGCGUAAAGCGUGCGCAGGCGGUUAUGUAAGACAGAGGUGAAAUCCCCGGGCUCAACCUGGGAACUGCCUUUGUGACUGCAUAGCUGGAGUACGGCAGAGGGGGAUGGAAUUCCGCGUGUAGCAGUGAAAUGCGUAGAUAUGCGGAGGAACACCGAUGGCGAAGGCAAUCCCCUGGGCCUGUACUGACGCUCAUGCACGAAAGCGUGGGGAGAAAACAGG